Molecule: long non-coding RNA, 1612 nt
Organism: Lynx canadensis (Canada lynx)
Lineage: Eukaryota; Metazoa; Chordata; Mammalia; Carnivora; Felidae
Exons: 4
Source: RefSeq, a predicted model, not a curated record
CGUAGAGCUUCCUUAAAAAAAAGAAAAAAAAAAUGUCAAAUUGUACCCUUUAAAAUGCAUGCAGAUUAGUGAAUGUCAAUUAUAUUCAAUAAAAUUUUGUGGGUUUUUUUUAAUCAUACACACACACACACACACACAGAAACAAAACAUGGGCCAGAUUCCGAGCCCUCUACACACAUUAACUUGUUUCAUUUUGGAAACAAAUCUACGAGGUAAGCACUAUGAGCCUCAUUUGAAAGGUGGGAAACUGAGGCCCAGAGAGGUUAAGUAACUCACCCAAGGUCACACAGCUGGUAAGUGGCAGAGCUGGGACUUCAACCCAGCUGCCUGGCCCGAGUCUGCUCUGAACCGUCACCUGGUUAAUUAUUGUUGGAGUUGUUACAGAGAAGCAAAGAUAGGUAGAGGAGGAAAGGGGCAGACGAUGAGGCUCUUCAACCCAGCCCUUGACCUCCUUCCUGCCUGUCCCUGCAGGUGGCAGAGCUGAGAGGCCCUGUGCUCCGGCUGCGGGAGCCGCUGGGCGUGCUGGCUAUCGUGUGCCCUGAUGAGUGGCCCCUGCUUGCCUUUGCGUCCCUGCUGGCCGCCGCCCUGGCCCAUGGCAACACCGUGGUCUUGGUGCCCAGCGGGGUCUGCCCCAUUCCCGCGUUGGAGGUCUGCCAGGAUUUGGCCACCUUGUUGCCAGCGGGCCUGGUGAAUGUGGUGACUGGAGACCGGGACCACCUGACCCGCUGCCUGGCCUUGCACCAGGACGUCCAGGCCCUGUGGUAUUUCGGAUCUGCCCAGGGCUCCCAGUUUGUGGAGUGGGCCUCAGCAGGAAACCUGAAGCCGGUGUGGGUGAACAGGGGCCGCCCUCGGGCCUGGGAUCAGGAAGCCCAGGGAGCAGGCCCAGAGCUGGGGCUGCGGGCAGCACGGACCAAGGCCCUGUGGCUGCCCAUGGGCGACUGAUGCCUGAGUGCCCCCACACUCCGUCUUGGACAGAGGAGAGAUGGACCCCGACAGACACCAGAAGCCUGGAGCCUUCUUUUAUCAUGGCUCCGAUGCCCUCCAAUAAACUCUGACCAACCUUGGCUGUGCCUCUCAGGGGAGGAAGUGGGGGAGUAGCGACUUCUGUUCUGUUUGAGGCCUUUUGAAUUGUAAGACUCAGCAGCUGGGUGGGCUGGCUCCAGUAUAACCCGGUAUUUGUGAGACAGAUAAAGGGAACUCUGAAGAGCCCCAGGCAGGCCCUCAGAGCCUCAUGUUUCCCCCUUGGUCUUCUCCUUCGUGUAGCUCUUCCCCUUUGACUUUCUCUGCCUAUGCAUUGUUUUAGGACCCAUAGCUUGCAGACAAACAAUAAAACACAGUGGCUCUCUGGAAUACAAUAAAAACCCUGGUUGGAGUCGAAGAAACUGAGGCUUAUUGAGGAUAAGGGGCUGGCCAAGCUCCCACAAUGACCCAGCCAGAGCUAAAAGUGAUAUUUGCCAGGCCUGAUGCAACAAGACCUGUUCCCCAAGUCCCCUUGGGUCGCGGGCCCUGGCAGGACAAAGCCAGAGGCCCAGAGGACGGUCAGACCCCAGCAACACAACAAGCUCCUGGCCUGUGCCAGGGAGACCCAUAAUCUGUGCGACUGUGGAGGGGA